UGAGGAAUAUUGGUCAAUGGACGAAAGUCUGAACCAGCCAUGCCGCGUGCAGGAUGACAGCCCUAUGGGUCGUAAACUGCUUUUAUACAGGAAGAAACCCUCGUUCGUGAACGAGGCUGACGGUACUGUAAGAAUAAGGACCGGCUAACUCCGUGCCAGCAGCCGCGGUAAUACGGAGGGUCCAAGCGUUAUCCGGAUUUAUUGGGUUUAAAGGGUACGUAGGCGGAAAAUUAAGUCAGUAGUGAAAGCCUCCCGCUUAACGGGAGAACUGCUAUUGAUACUGGUUUUCUUGAAUAUAGUUGAAGUAGGCGGAAUACGACAUGUAGCGGUGAAAUGCAUAGAUAUGUCGUGGAACACCGAUUGCGAAGGCAGCUUACUAAGCUAUUAUUGACGCUGAUGUACGAAAGCGUGGGGAGCGAACAGG
Molecule: ribosomal RNA, 424 nt
Filed under: uncultured bacterium
Lineage: Bacteria
Description: bacterial SSU rRNA
Rfam family: Bacterial small subunit ribosomal RNA
Source: RNAcentral